CGGCGCGCUACCAUGCAGUCGAGGGGCAGCGGGGAAAAGCUGGCUUUUCCGCCGGCGACCGGGGCGGGGGUGCGCUGCGCGUAUACCUGCUGCCCCCUACUGCGGGAUAGCCCAGAAAAAUUUGGAUUAACACCGCACGGUACCGUAUCCCCGCAUGGGGUUUACGGUAAAAGGUCACGGUGGGGGAUGAGUAUGCGUACCAUUAGCUUGGUGGGGGGGUAACGGCCCACCAUGGCGACAUGGGUAGGGGCCCUGAGAGGGGGAUCCCCCACACUGGUACUGAGACACGGACCAUACUCCUACAGGAGGCAGCAGUGAGGAAUAUUGGACGAUGGGCGGGAGCCUGAUCCCGCCAUGCCGCGUGCGGGAAGAAGGCCCUAUGGGUCGUAAACCGCUUUUAUACGGAAAGAAACCACCCUACGUGUAGGGUACUGACGGUUCCGUAAGAAUAAAGACCGGCUAACUCCCUGCCACCACCCCCGGUAAUACGGAGGGUCCGAGCGUUAUCCUGAAUCAUUGGGUUUAAAGGGUCCGUAUGCGGGCCGUUAAGUCAGGGGUGAAAGUCUGCGGCUCAACCGUAGAACUGCCCUUGAUACUGGCGGUCUUGAGUCGUACUGGAGUAGGCGGAAUAUGUACUGUAGCGGUGAAAUGCACAUAUAUUACAUAGAACAUCGAUCGCGAAAGCGGCUUACUAAGUACGUACUGACACUCAUAGACGAAAGCGUGUGGGAGCGAACGGGAUUAGAUACCCCGGUAGUCCACGCCCCUAUACCAUGGAUACUAGCUGCUCCUGUACUUUGAGUACUGGGACGGCCCAAGCGAUAGUGCAUAGUAUCCCACCUGGGGAGUACGUGCGCCUAGAGUAACUUCAAAGGUAAAUUGACCGGGGG
RNAcentral lists this ribosomal RNA (890 nucleotides) under Euzebyella sp. Its description in RNAcentral is "bacterial SSU rRNA". It matches the Rfam family "Bacterial small subunit ribosomal RNA", at positions 40 to 920 of the family's 1533-position model. The record is from RNAcentral. Lineage: Bacteria; Pseudomonadati; Bacteroidota; Flavobacteriia; Flavobacteriales; Flavobacteriaceae.